RNAcentral lists this long non-coding RNA (930 nucleotides) under Daphnia pulex (common water flea). Its description in RNAcentral is "uncharacterized LOC124191416, transcript variant X3". Lineage: Eukaryota; Metazoa; Arthropoda; Branchiopoda; Diplostraca; Daphniidae. The record is from RNAcentral.
CAAAAUUAACUGCUUGAAAUUUACUGCAAUUCACCACCGCCGUCUAGCGGGCGGACCGAAAAUCGUCGUUUCUCUGCCUCUUUUGGGGAGGGGUUCUAAGCUAUCGAUUGCAAUGCAAUAGUUAGCUUAACAAUUGAUUUGCAAUCGUCUCAGACGAAUGUUAUUGUUUACAAUCGCAAGAAGGACAUAUCUAAUAAGUGAAGCCGUGAUGAACCCUUAAAACUCAUAAGGAGAAGUGUUGAUGAUAGUCAAGGACUGUCGAAUAGGCCAUUUGCAAACGUACUUGCCCAAUCACCGACAUAACUCGAAUUUGAUUGAUUGAUGGAAAUCUCUCAGUUCCGGACAUGCAGGAAAUACUGCAUGCAUUAAAAGAAAGCAAGGUUAAAGAGAAAGCAGUGACAGUGAGAUACCUAAUACAAAGAGGCAGAUUGCAAUCACAUACUUCAACUCAAUAGUCCAUGAUGUAAACUUGGCAGGUGAAUGUGAGCAGUAUCAUACUGGGUUUGCCAAGAACACCGAACACCCCAAUACCAAUUUGUUGCACUGGCCAUGUCCACAGCGGACUUAAUAUCUUGAAUAACUGCCAGAAGAAUGGAUUAUUGGACCUGCAAAAAACUGAGUCUGUAACUGGGAAUUAAUUAAUUGAAAACGAGCGUUGUUACAUGUUUGUUCUACCCGGGAAGGUACUCUACAACACAGCUGUGACGGUCAGGAUCAAGUGCGACAACCGCACUUGCUUUACGACAGCGAGGACGAGUCAGACGAGCGGGACUGCCAUUCGGCUAGCCCGUGCACCGAUAUAAUAAAUAUUCUUUAACAAAAUAAUAGAAUGAUUUCUGUCAAUCAACAUUGUCAUCAUAAGUCAAAUGUGAUUCCCCCCAAUCGUCUACUGCUCAAAUUUUUUCAAGAAAUAAACGAGACGAAACGAGA